GAUGGCGCCGGAUCCACAUCCACAGCCACGGCCCCGGCACCCAUGGAGUGACCGUGUGCUUCUUCUCCAUGGACAUGGAGCUCCCACAACACACCAUGGAAGGCCUGGAGCUCCUUCUCACGGCAGGUGCACCGCGUAUAGGAGGGAAGACCAACGCUCCUCCAGGUCUGCUUCUUCCCGGGUCGCCGUUGCUCCACGGAAGGAGAAGCUCAGGCUGCCACCACACAAAGGGAGAGGAACCCAAGAUGAAUCUAUCCCGCCAUACUGUCCAUGACCCGACGACAGAGACAGCUACUUUGAGCCUUGAAUUGGAGCCUUUGAAGGAUCUGAAUGGAGCAUAUGUAUGCAUGCUACGGUUCAUCAUAGCAGAAGUCAAACUUCCUCCUUCUCAGCUCAUUGCUGGUGGUUCAGGCACGGGCCGUUGAUGCAGAUCGAUCAAGUGUCCUCCUCUUUAAUUAUUUGGAUUGGUGGUGCAUAGAUCUGGUGGUGCACUGGUGAGCCAUGACUAUUGGUGCUCAGUUUGCGCAGAAUGUAAUUGAUGUUUCCCGGACCUACAAAUAAUCAACACUGCAUUUCCCCGUGCGUUUGGUAAAAUGCAAAUGAGAACUAGACAGGUGCCUCAUGUGCCUUUUUGUUCGGUUGGACAGCCUGCUCCCAAGGUUUACGAGCCGACUAAUUUCAUCCGGAUAUAUACUAGCUAUUUGCUGGGAGGUGGUAUGAUCUUCAUUGUACUAAAAUCAUUCUUAUAUGGACUACCAAAUAUUAGUGGCUUGGGCACUUUCGAGGACUGCUGCUUGGAUUCUUCAUGUGAUUUGAAUAUUUAUACAUGCCCCUUUGUGUACAAGUUUGUUGAUAAGUUGGUGAUAGCUUGUUUCCAAGCGGUUUAGUUAGUCAAGUAUCAGACUAUAAAUUAUUCAUACGUUUUCUUCCGUGAACACAAGAAUGAUACAUUCAAAAUCUGUUCAAGAAAAAAAAAGAUAUUUUCAAUACUAUUUCUAUUUUUGAGAAUGAUGUCGGGAUAAUGAAGCUAUGUUUGCAAAGCAUUUUCUUCAGUAGGUUUCUUUACUUGCUUACUAAACCUUCCAUUUUAUACCAUACUGUGGCCAUAAAGCAACAUAUCGUCUUAUGGGGGUUCACAAAAAGGUUCCCAGUUCUUAGAAUUAGAAUUAUAUCGAUCAGAUAAAUUAUUUUAUUCAUCGCCUGCAAGCCAACCAUCUCUAUUUAAAACUGAACCUUUUAUUAGUUCACCAUUUUUCUUCUCGCUAUGAUGCUGACUUAGACUGCUGCCACUUGGUGCUUAGCAGGAGAGGCACAACCCCUGCCACACCGAAGAGAAAGACGAUGGCUUCCAUGAAGAAAUUCGUCAAAGUGACUCCAAUGACCCACAGGACUCCAGCAGCAACGACAUUAUCAAAGGGUCAAGGAGCAGCAAUUUGAUAUGCAUCCGUGACAAUGAAGUUUUCUCCACGGCGCGGAAUUGAUGCUGGCGACCCCGCCGUUUCCACACCACCCCGAGGAGAAGCACAACAGGAAGGGAUAUAGCGCGACAAAUCCUAUUUUACUGUCCCCGUUUCCCGGUUUCCACAUCGCGGCGACUCGAUCCGCUGCUCUCGGGCACGGCGCUCUUGAAUGAGUCAGAUUUAUCGAGGGACAAGACUGGCAAGCGCUCCUCCGUGUCGAUCUUCGACCGAGGUAGAGCGCUGGUAGCAACCACAUCAUGAAAGGGUUGACGAACGACGAUCCGAUAUGCGUCGCUCACAGCGAAGGUUUGCAUAUACAGAGAUGAUGAUAUGCCAUAUAUCUCACAAGUUGUUUGCAUUAGGACUGUGCAAAGUGGCGCCUAUGAAAUUUAUCGACCAGGAAGUUGAAUGAAGUCACCUAUUAGUAUGCUUAGUAGCUAUGGCUCGGUACCUCUCCUUUAUAUCUUCAUGUUCUCAUUACUUCCUCUCCUAUUAUCGUGCUUUUGGUAUCGAACUUCAUGUCGAGUGGCUGCACUUUUGGUUUUGAUCUUAAUGCCGAAUGGCUAUGUUUUGUGAUCUUACAAACGCACUAAAAUCGAUUAUGCCUUAAUAGUCUCGUGUUGAUAUUGAGCAAUGCUAUGUCUCACCCCUAUCUCAAUUGAAUGUUUUUUCUUUAUUU
Triticum dicoccoides is the source of this 2139-nucleotide long non-coding RNA. RefSeq lists it as uncharacterized. The transcript is spliced from 10 exons. The record is from RefSeq and is a predicted model, not a curated record. NCBI's taxonomy places the organism in Eukaryota, Viridiplantae, Streptophyta, Magnoliopsida, Poales, Poaceae.